This 253-nucleotide ribosomal RNA is filed under the name uncultured bacterium. Its description in RNAcentral is "partial 16S ribosomal RNA". It matches the Rfam family "Bacterial small subunit ribosomal RNA", at positions 524 to 776 of the family's 1533-position model. The record is from RNAcentral.
UACGUAGGGUGCGAGCGUUGUCCGGAAUUAUUGGGCGUAAAGGGCUCGUAGGCGGUUUGUCGCGUCGGGAGUGAAAACGCCGUGCUUAACACGGCGCUUGCUUUCGAUACGGGCAGACUAGAGGUAUGCAGGGGAGAACGGAAUUCCUGGUGUAGCGGUGAAAUGCGCAGAUAUCAGGAAGAACACCCGUGGCGAAGGCGGUUCUCUGGGACGGUACUGACGCUGAGACGCGAAAGCGUGGGGAGCGAACAGG